GACGAACGCUGGCGGCGUGCUUAACACAUGCAAGUCGAACGGAAAGGCCCUGCUUUUGUGGGGUGCUCGAGUGGCGAACGGGUGAGUAACACGUGAGUAACCUGCCCUUGACUUUGGGAUAACUUCAGGAAACUGGGGCUAAUACCGGAUAGGAGCUCCUGCUGCAUGGUGGGGGUUGGAAAGUUUCGGCGGUUGGGGAUGGACUCGCGGCUUAUCAGCUUGUUGGUGGGGUAGUGGCUUACCAAGGCUUUGACGGGUAGCCGGCCUGAGAGGGUGACCGGCCACAUUGGGACUGGGAUACGGCCCGGCCUCCUACGGGAGGCAGCAGUGGGGAAUAUUGCACAAUGGGCGGAAGCCUGAUGCAGCAACGCCGCGUGCGGGAUAACGGCCUUCGGGUUGUAAACCGCUUUCGCCUGUGACGAAGCGUGAGUGACGGUAAUGGGUAAAGAAGCACCGGCUAACUACGUG
RNAcentral lists this ribosomal RNA (468 nucleotides) under uncultured bacterium. Its description in RNAcentral is "partial 16S ribosomal RNA". It matches the Rfam family "Bacterial small subunit ribosomal RNA", at positions 28 to 507 of the family's 1533-position model. The record is from RNAcentral.